RNAcentral lists this ribosomal RNA (468 nucleotides) under uncultured bacterium. RNAcentral's name for it is "partial 16S ribosomal RNA". It matches the Rfam family "Bacterial small subunit ribosomal RNA", at positions 28 to 507 of the family's 1533-position model. The record is from RNAcentral.
GACGAACGCUGGCGGCGUGCUUAACACAUGCAAGUCGAACGGAAAGGCCCUGCUUUUGUGGGGUGCUCGAGUGGCGAACGGGUGAGUAACACGUGAGUAACCUGCCCUUGACUUUGGGAUAACUUCAGGAAACUGGGGCUAAUACCGGAUAGGAGCUCCUGCUGCAUGGUGGGGGUUGGAAAGUUUCGGCGGUUGGGGAUGGACUCGCGGCUUAUCAGCUUGUUGGUGGGGUAGUGGCUUACCAAGGCUUUGACGGGUAGCCGGCCUGAGAGGGUGACCGGCCACAUUGGGACUGAGAUACGGACCAGACUCGUACGGGAGGCAGCGGUGGGGAAUAUUGCGCAGUGGGCGGAAGCCUGAUGCAGCAACGCCGCGUGCGGAAUGACGGCCUUCGGGUUGUAAACCACUUUCGCCUGUGACGAAGCGUGAGUGACGGUAAUGGGUAAAGAAGCACCGGCUAACUACGUG